CACGGGGUUGCGAGCGUUGUCCGGAAUUACUAGGCGUAAAGGGCAGGCAGGCGGAUCCAUAAGUUUAUCGUUUAAGGCGUCGGCUUAACCGGCGUAGGGCGGUAGAUACUGUGGAUCUGGAAUGCGGUUGGGGAAGACAGAAUUCCUGGUGUAGCGGUGGAAUGCGCAGAGAUCAGGAGGAAUACCGAAGGCGAAGGCAGUCUUCCAAGCCGUUAUUGACGCUCAACUGCGAAGGUGUGGGUAUCAAACAGGAUUAGAUACCCGCGUAGUCCCU
This 274-nucleotide ribosomal RNA is filed under the name uncultured prokaryote. RNAcentral describes it as "partial 16S ribosomal RNA". It matches the Rfam family "Bacterial small subunit ribosomal RNA", at positions 524 to 798 of the family's 1533-position model. The record is from RNAcentral.